AAAAUUGGUCCGUGGGAGUACAGCCCAAGACCCCGAGAGGGGUCGCCCUGUUUGCCUCCGGAAGUAAAACUUAAUGAUCACUUUGUAGUUGGUGUUUGAACUUGUAGAAUAUGCGAUGAGGUUCUAUUUAGGACGGAGUCUGAGUGCCUCACUUGCCAGCAUGCGGCUUGUGGGAAGAAAACCAGCCUGGGGGAGAUCAGAGCUAAGAGAUGGCAGAAAAACCGGGUCAGAACACCUGUCUUUGUGCCCCUGGACCAAACCACACGUUGAUGGAAUAUCUACGUGAUCUGGCACGUGCCUACAUCCCUGGACGCAUCCUGUGCGGCUUUCCCCUCACCCACUCGGCCCCUCCACCGGAGUCUCUCACCCCUGCUCACUCCCACCGGCAGGACUUUGACCAGCUGCUCCCUCUCCUCUGAAGCUUCUGGAACACACAAUGCAUGUGCAUCCAAGUGAUACAAGAGACCCCGCAGAGGAGAAAGAGGCCUGCAGGUGUCUGUGCUUCCCACUUUCUCACAGAGCCUUUUCCUGUGUGGUUUGUGCAACCAAGAACAUCUACUCUACUGGGUUUUCCCAAAAUUAAACAGCAGCACACUAAAUAACUUUUUUCACUUGACAAAAUAUCUUAGCUGUCAUUUCAUCUAUGUAUC
Long non-coding RNA from Acinonyx jubatus (cheetah), 650 nucleotides. RefSeq lists it as uncharacterized. The transcript is spliced from 3 exons. The record is from RefSeq and is a predicted model, not a curated record. Lineage: Eukaryota; Metazoa; Chordata; Mammalia; Carnivora; Felidae.